This 66-nucleotide transfer RNA is filed under the name Vulpes vulpes (red fox). RNAcentral describes it as "tRNA-Pro". Lineage: Eukaryota; Metazoa; Chordata; Mammalia; Carnivora; Canidae. The record is from RNAcentral.
UCAAGGAAGAGGCACAUGCCCCACCGUCAGCACCCAAAGCUGAAAUUCUUUUUAAACUAUUCCCUG